UCAUGAUUCUUUAACUGUCUGGACCCAUAGGCUAUGACCUUCCCAUGCUGCAUCAGGACACAACUCAAGCCUAGAUAGGAGUUAUCACUAUAAACUGUAUACCCCCCGAUCUACUCGGUAAAGCCAGUACGGGUGCAAUGGUCAACUGCUCCUUUAAUUCUGAAAAACUUCUCUCACAGUCCUCAUUCCACUCAAACUUGGCAUUCUUCUUUGUGAGUUGGGUUAGGAGAGCCGCUAG
This 238-nucleotide long non-coding RNA is filed under the name Carica papaya (papaya). RNAcentral's name for it is "long non-coding RNA (CPAP_LNC002136)". Lineage: Eukaryota; Viridiplantae; Streptophyta; Magnoliopsida; Brassicales; Caricaceae. The record is from RNAcentral.